RNAcentral lists this transfer RNA (81 nucleotides) under Hordeum vulgare subsp. vulgare (domesticated barley). It matches the Rfam family "tRNA". Rfam says of the family: Transfer RNA (tRNA) molecules are approximately 80 nucleotides in length. The record is from Rfam by way of RNAcentral. Lineage: Eukaryota; Viridiplantae; Streptophyta; Magnoliopsida; Poales; Poaceae.
GCCUUGAUGUUGAAAUGGUAGACACGCGAGACUCAAAAUCUCGUGUUGAAGUGUGUGGAGGUUUGAGUCCUCUUCAAGGCA